This 253-nucleotide ribosomal RNA is filed under the name uncultured bacterium. RNAcentral's name for it is "partial 16S ribosomal RNA". It matches the Rfam family "Bacterial small subunit ribosomal RNA", at positions 524 to 776 of the family's 1533-position model. RNAcentral also lists the same sequence under 1 other name. The record is from RNAcentral.
UACGGAGGGUGCAAGCGUUGUUCGGAUUUAUUGGGCGUAAAGGGCGUGUAGGCGGUUCGUUAAGUCUGAUGUGAAAGCCCCGGGCUCAACCCGGGAAGUGCAUUGGAAACUGGCGAACUUGAGUACGGGAGAGGGCAGUGGAAUUCCUAGUGUAGGAGUGAAAUCCGUAGAUAUUAGGAGGAACACCGGUGGCGAAGGCGGCUGCCUGGACCGAUACUGACGCUGAGACGCGAAAGCGUGGGGAGCAAACAGG